RNAcentral lists this ribosomal RNA (497 nucleotides) under uncultured bacterium. RNAcentral describes it as "partial 16S ribosomal RNA". It matches the Rfam family "Bacterial small subunit ribosomal RNA", at positions 28 to 507 of the family's 1533-position model. The record is from RNAcentral.
GAUGAACGCUGGCGGCGUGCCUAACACAUGCAAGUCGAACGAAAAGACGAGGAGCGUGCUCUCCUGCCGUUGGCGACGGGCGGGUGAGUCACGAGUAGAUAACCUUCCACUUUGACUGGGAUAACUACGGGAGACCGGAGAUACUAAUAGAUAAUACUUCUAACGGGUGGGUGCAGGAGAGAUUCGGGGUUUUGGUGUCGCUUAGAGGCGAAUCCGCGGCGUAUUGGCGAGGUGGUAGGGUAACGGCUUACCAAGGAGACGAUGCGUAGCCGAGCUGAGAGGGUGAUCCGCCACACUGGAACUGAGACGCGGUCCAGACUCCUACGGGAGGCAGCAGUGGGGAAUAUUGGACGAUGGGCGCAAGCCUGAUCCAGCCAUGCCGCGUGGGUGAAGAAGGCCUUCGGGUUGUAAAACGCUUUUGUUGGGGAAGAAAAGCAGCGGGUUUAUCCCCGGCUGUUCUGACGGUACCCAAUGAAUAAGCACCGGCUAACUACGUG